This 304-nucleotide long non-coding RNA is filed under the name Struthio camelus australis. RNAcentral's name for it is "lncRNA (ENSSCUG00000009156.1)". Lineage: Eukaryota; Metazoa; Chordata; Aves; Struthioniformes; Struthionidae. The record is from RNAcentral.
GGGUUAAGAUAAACACCGUUAUAGCACUGAGUCACAAUCUUGCACACAGCAAAAUAUGCAGAUGCAGCUGUAGAUCCUCCAUUUUUAUCUCAUGAUACAGGAGACACGAUUAGCCCACUAAUACAAAAGAAACAGUAAUUCAGAUCUUAUGAGGUGAAGCGUAAGAAUCCACAAGAAGAGGGACUGGAAAGGCACUUUACUCAAAGAAGCACUGAAUCUGGCUAUUUUCUAUACUGUAGGACCCUCCAGAUAAAGGAAAGAGAAAGAUGCCUCUGAAGACUUUCAGUGCAAAAGCCUGCUUUUC